UUUAUCUGUUUCGCUCAUAAAACAUAAAAAGAAAAACAAAAACAACAACAACGAACCCUAAAGACAAACCCUAGGAUAUGCUUUCUUCAUAUAGAUCGAGAGAAAAAAAAACCUAAGAACAAACCCUAGGAUAUGCUUUGUUCAUGGGAUAAUGAUGAUACAAACAAAAGAAAAACAACUAGCCAUGGGACAAAGGCUUUAUCAUUUACCGAACAAGGCGUUCUAUGUGAAAUACGCGAGCGGCUGAAAACCAGAGGAUUAAAAUCAGAAAGAAACCAAACGGGAGAUUUGUUAUCAGGUACACAAAUGGGAGUUCUCAACCAGGUAUGAAUUGGGUUUCUCUUUAUCCUCUUUGCUUUUGAUGUUCCAGAAAGGGAUAAUGACUUCUUAAUGAUUCCCGUUUUUCUGGGUUUUGCAAAUUUGGAGUUCACAACCAUUAAUCGAUCGCAUGGUUGAAAGAUCGUUGUGCUGAAACCAAUUCAAGGUCAGUUUCCUUCCCUUCCAUGAUUAAUUAAUUUUCUAUUAAUAUUACUUUUCCUUCCCGAGCAGUAACGUCUUCGUUUGAACUAUUAGUGGCUUGAAUUGUUUGGGUUUGUACUAAAAGAAACAAUAACUUUCACGUUUAGAUUUCUCAUCAGUUUUUUCUAGGGUUUUUUCUUGAUUUUCUAUACUCAUGUUUUCUUAUGGUUUCAUGAUGGUACUACUAUGGAUGACGGACAUCACGGAAGAGGAAAAAUACGAUGUUGGUGUCGUUGAUUUGUGUGGUUUUCAUGGAGUUGGAGAUGGGUCCGUGGUAACAUCAGAUUAUGAUCGUGGACAGAGUUUGGGAUGCUGUCCAUUGGUCAAAACUGUAGCAUCAAGGUAUAAUAUUUUAAUCUGAAGAUAUUUCUUAUCUUCCAUCUUGGUGGUGGUACAUUUGAAAAUAUCUCUGAGUUUAAGGCUAUGUGGAUGAAGAUUAUUAAAGUUUACGGUUACACGGGGAGUAAAACAAGUGCAUUAUAUAAAUCAUUACAUCUGGUGGUGUGCGACACUGUGAUGCUUUUCAGGUCUUCCUUGCAGAGAUCUUGAAGCUCGAUGCUGUGGCCUUGAGACAUGCUCUUGAAUCCAUAUUUUAUUCACGUUCGUGGCAGAAAUCAAAAGGAGCAUUUCAUCACUCAUAGUUUCCUUGCCGGUGGGGCUGUUUUAUCGACCAUGGACUGGGUAAGGCUGAAACAAGGAAAAACAAGUUUGGAGAUUGGAUUUAUGGAUCGGUACCAUACAGGGACAUCUGUAACAACAACAAGUAUUUCGACAGUAUCUACUUCAGCACUAUCUCAAAGACUUCAUGGAAGGCAAAAUAUUGUAAAUGAAGUUGCAAAAUAGGAAAAAUAGCCGAAAAUUUGUUCUUUUUCAUUUACAUAGAGGAACUCUUAAGGUUCAACUGAAGAAUAUCAGCAGAUUGUGCCAUGCCAAACCUAUUGUUACCGUAAAUGGAAUGUUUCCUGGACCAACAAUUCAUGCUAGAGAAGGAGAUACAGUUCUUAUAAACGUUACCAAUUGAUCAAGUCAUGGAAGAUGCUCAAGGAAAAAGCUACUUAUUACGGAUAGUCAAUGCUGCAAUCAACAACGAACUUUUCUUUGCCUUAUCCGGUCAUAAUUUCACAGUGAGGGAGAUUGAUGCAGUCUAUGUAAAUGUCUUCACAACUCAAGCUAUUUUAAUUUUUUAAUUGCACCGGGACAGACCACAAACGUUCUUGAGCCAAUUGAACUUCCAGCAAAUAUUAGGUGGAUCACAUGACAAUGUUUACUCCUGUGCAGUGAACUUAGUGCUACCAAAUCCAAGCAAACAAAGUGGCGGAUGCACCAGACAGGUGGCUCUGAAAAUAUUUACUAAUCUAAAUAGUGAAGCACCUGCAUUCACAUGACUUUUACUACUCCCAUGACUUUUGUACUCUGGCAUAGUUGGUAACUAAUCUAAAUAAUAUUUACUAAUUAUUUUCCUGGGAUGGUGAGUUAUAUGAAGCACCUGCAUUCACGUUCACUUUUGGUUAUAAUAUGUAAUAUAUAGAUUUCCUAAUGUGUAUUGAAUGUUUGCUUAAUCUUUUUGAUCUCCAUGAAUUGGAUGUGCUGAUGUGGUAACUCUUUUGUACUGCAACUAAAUCACAAAUCUUAAGCGACAGGGCGAGGCGGAGCCGCGCCAUACCAAAUCAAAAAUCCUAAGCGACGGGAGAGGCCGAGUCAAGCCAUACCAAAUUAAAAAUCCUAAACGACGGGACGAGGCGAAGCCGAGCCAUAUCAAAUAAAAAAUCCUAAGCGACGGGGGAGGCGGAACCGAGCUACUCCAAAUUAAAAAUGCACGACGGGGCGAGGCGAAGCCACGUCACACCAAACCAAGAAUAUGUUUAGAGUGAUAUUCAUUUGUUCUUCAUGAAUUGGAUGUGCCGAUGUGGUAACUCAUGUAUACGACAACUAAAAGGGGCGAGGAAGAGCCGAGCCAUACCAAACAAAAAUCCUAAGCUACGGGAUGAGGCGGAGCCAAGCCAAAUCAAAAUCCUAAGUGACUAGACGAGGCGGAACCGAACCACUCCAAAUUAAAAAUGCACGACGGGGCGAGCAAAGCCACGUCACACUAAUCCAAGAAUAUGUGUAGAGUGACAUUCAUCUAUUGUUCUCGAAUCGCCGAGCCACACCAAUUCAAAUCGGGAAGAGACAAGGCGAGACAAAGCCGAGAUUUAAUAAAUAAAAGAUAUGCGUAGGAGACUUGGACCAAGUGAUGGUAGAUGGUUCAUUCUUCGCAUCUCUUUUCUUCUCCGUCCUUUCUUUUUCUCGAUUGUCUCUGUUGUUUUUGAAAUACUAUUGAUUUAUUUUUGUUUUUCUGUCGCAGGCGAUAUACUUUGAUGGGAAUCUGUAAAAGUGGUCUAAUUAGGUGAUAUACUUUCAUAGUAUCAUAAUCUUAAACAAAUUCAUUCUUUUUGAUUUUCAUAGUAGUGAUUGUGGGUUUUAGAUCCUGUUCUUAUUAGUGUGAAGCAUAAUCAUGAAACAAAAAUUGGGCUUUGCUCCUUUUCCGUUAUUUACUUGGCUGUUUCAGUUUUGCAGACUAGGGUUUAUUGUCUUCCCGUUGUUGAUUUGUCUCCCUCACAGGUUUAUCCCCUGAUUCAAGUGAUUUGGUUUUGAAAUCACUGAUUCAGUUUAUAUCUGAUUUCUAUUCCUGAUGUGUUAGGGUUUUACUUAUUUUGAUACCAUCUUUUAAAUGUGGACUGUGAGAUCCAUGAAAAAUUUGAUGUACUCUAUCUGUUUGUUGAAAGACCUGAACCAGUGUUUUUGUUUGAUUAGCAUAUUUUUGUAAAUUUAUUAUAUAAACCCUAACCCUUUUGUUCUAUUUUGCAGCUACGAAAAAAUUAUGGUAGCAUAGAAGGGAAACUCACAACAUAAACACAGAUAUAAGACAAUUGCGUCAUUGGGGAUACCAGUUAUGGUUAUAGCUGGAAUCUUAUGUGGAGAGUUUCUGCGAGAGCUUUACAGAAUGUUUUUCAUGGAGCAGAGUCACAUAGACAUAGUUGCUGCUACUGCCACUUGACUCAGCACCACCUGUAGUGGCAGUCAAUUUUGUUUCUUUUUUCAUAGAAAUGCAGAAUGUGGUGGAUAGAAGUAUUGUAAAUAUCGGGUUACAGAACCAGCAAGCUUCCGUAGCUGUAAUGCGAGUGGAUUGCAGGUCUUCACUUUAUUGUUGUUACUAGGCUCAUGGACUGGGUGGAAGAGGAAACAUUACGUUUUGCAGAUUCGAACCGUAGUGAAGGCAUGAGAAUCUUGAGACCCAAAACCAAGAAAAAAGGGCGCACUAUCUCAUUUUUCUUGGUGUCUACACAGUAGCUCUAAUUGUAGGACUAAUAUUAAUUAUACGGGCUCGAAACAUUAUAGGAAAAGAAGGCAGCACUCAAUACAUGGAAAACAUGUUUCCACUUUACGGGUGAUUAAUCUAGGAGACUAACUACGAAAAAAUGAAUGAAGCAUUCCAGGAUACUCCUUCUAUCAAGACCGUGCACACUAAGAUGCUCCUUUAUCAAGCUAUGCUCCGUAGGUGGUUUUGCAGGUCCUGGACAUCUUUAUCAUUUGGUUUAGUUUGUUAUUGAGGAGUAUAGUGCAGCUGAAAUGCUUAGAAUGGUGUUGGUGGUAAUGAAAGCAAGAGAAGAGACAUAAAUACCUGGAAGUGGUAUUGCAGAUGAAAUGGUUUAGUUUGUUGUUGAGGAGUAUAGUGCAGCUGAAAUGCUUAGAAUGGUGUUGGUGGUAAUGAAAGCAAGAGAAGAGACAUAGAGACCUGGAAGUGGUAUUGCAGAUGAAAUGGUUCUCUUUCACAUUAAACUCAUGUAUUUCAACUAUACAGUCCAUACUACCACCAGCUGGGUGGAGUUACUUGUUCACAUCCAUCACCAGCAUACAGGCAGCAGGGAGCACAGAUAAAACAUCCCCAAGGCAGCAGCAGUUCGCAUACGCCACCACCACUCCAUUAUCAACAUGUCAUACAUUCGCCAACACCAUCAGUCCAUAUUCACCUCCACCUGCAGCUGUUUGGCUCAUGUCACUUUAUGUAUGCAAUUCAUUUACAGUAUAAGGAUGUUCUCAAAAUUCUGGAUAGAUACGAUCCUUGGGUGAAGUUUGAUGCAAUUUUGGAAAUUGAUAAAAUUUUCUUGAGUAAUCAUGCUGCUGGAUAACCCUGAUUUUUAGUUAAUACACACGUUGUGCCUACCCAGAUUCAACCACCAAAUUUUUUUGAUUUGAAAUUCAAGUUUCAAGAAUUAUAUAUUGCUGAAUGGUUAUGUCUAUCUGUCUUUUUUACAUGUAUUAUUGUGAAAUUGUGAAUUAUUCUAUAUUGAUUAUUGUAGAUUCAGUUA
Molecule: long non-coding RNA, 4868 nt
Organism: Papaver somniferum (opium poppy)
Lineage: Eukaryota; Viridiplantae; Streptophyta; Magnoliopsida; Ranunculales; Papaveraceae
Exons: 12
Source: RefSeq, a predicted model, not a curated record